AGAGUUUGAUCCUGGCUCAGGAUGAACGCUAGCGACAGGCCUAACACAUGCAAGUCGAGGGGCAGCGCGGAGCAAGCUUGCUUGUUCUGGCGGCGACCGGCGCACGGGUGCGUAACAGGUGUGCAAUCUGUCCAUAAUCGGGGAAUAGCCCAGCGAAAGUUGGAUUAAUGCUCCAUGUGAGCCGAGGAGGCAUCUCUUUGGUUUGAAACGCGAGGAUUAUGGGUGAGCACGCUUCUGAUUAGGUAGUUGGUGAGGUAACGGCUCACCAAGCCGACGAUCAGUAGGGGUUCUGAGAGGAAGGUCCCCCACAUUGGAACUGAGACACGGUCCAAACUCCUACGGGAGGCAGCAGUGAGGAAUAUUGGUCAAUGGACGGAAGUCUGAGCCAGCCAAGUCGCGUGAAGGAUGAAGGUUCUAUGGAUUGUAAACUUCUUUUGUCUGAGGGUAAAAAAGCGGACGUGUCCGUUCUUGCAAGUAUCAGACGAAUAAGCAUCGGCUAACUCCGUGCCAGCAGCCGCGGUAAUACGGAGGAUGCGAGCGUUAUCCGGAUUUAUUGGGUUUAAAGGGAGCGUAGGCGGGCUAUUAAGUCAGUCGUCAAAGCCUGUGGCUCAACCACAGCCCGCGAUUGAUACUGGUAACCUUGAGUGCGGAUGAGGUGGAUGGAAUUCGUGGUGUAGCGGUGAAAUGCUUAGAUAUCACGAAGAACUCCGAUUGCGAAGGCAGUCCACUGGGCCGCAACUGACGCUGAAGCUCGAAAGUGCGGGUAUCAAACAGGAUUAGAUACCCUGGUAGUCCGCACCGUAAACGAUGGACACUCGCUGCCGGCGAUAUACAGUCGGUGGCCUCGCGAAAGCCUUAAGUGUCCCACCUGGGGAGUACGCCGGCAACGGUGAAACUCAAAGGAAUUGACGGGGGCCCGCACAAGCGGAGGAACAUGUGGUUUAAUUCGAUGAUACGCGAGGAACCUUACCCGGGCUUGAACUAUGGUGGACCGUUCCAGAGAUGGAUCUUCCCUUCGGGGCCGCCAUGGAGGUGCUGCAUGGUUGUCGUCAGCUCGUGCCGUGAGGUGUCGGCUUAAGUGCCAUAACGAGCGCAACCCUUGCUGAUAGUUACCAUCAGGUGAUGCUGGGGACUCUAUCAGGACUGCCGCCGUAAGGUGAGAGGAAGGGGGGGAUGACGUCAAAUCAGCACGGCCCUUACGUCCGGGGCGACACACGUGUUACAAUGGCAGGUACAGAGGGCGGCCAGGCAGCGAUGCCGCGCAAAUCUCGAAAGCCUGUCUCAGUUCGGAUUGGAGUCUGCAACUCGACUCCAUGAAGUUGGAUUCGCUAGUAAUCGCGCAUCAGCCAUGGCGCGGUGAAUACGUUCCCGGGCCUUGCACUCACCGCCCGUCA
This 1394-nucleotide ribosomal RNA is filed under the name uncultured bacterium. RNAcentral's name for it is "16S ribosomal RNA". It matches the Rfam family "Bacterial small subunit ribosomal RNA". The record is from RNAcentral.